Molecule: transfer RNA, 83 nt
Filed under: Canis lupus familiaris (dog)
Lineage: Eukaryota; Metazoa; Chordata; Mammalia; Carnivora; Canidae
Also listed under: 2 other names
Rfam family: tRNA
About the family: Transfer RNA (tRNA) molecules are approximately 80 nucleotides in length. Their secondary structure includes four short double-helical elements and three loops (D, anti-codon, and T loops).
Source: Rfam by way of RNAcentral
GCCUGGGUGGCUCAGUGGUUGAGCAUCUGCCUUUGGCUCAGGAUGUGAUCCUGGAAUCCCUGGGUCAAGUCCCAGAUCAGGUU